This 375-nucleotide RNase P RNA is filed under the name Marinoscillum furvescens DSM 4134. Its description in RNAcentral is "Bacterial RNase P class A". It matches the Rfam family "Bacterial RNase P class A". Rfam says of the family: Ribonuclease P (RNase P) is a ubiquitous endoribonuclease, found in archaea, bacteria and eukarya as well as chloroplasts and mitochondria. Its best characterised activity is the generation of mature 5'-ends of tRNAs by cleaving the 5'-leader elements of precursor-tRNAs. The record is from Rfam by way of RNAcentral. Lineage: Bacteria; Pseudomonadati; Bacteroidota; Cytophagia; Cytophagales; Reichenbachiellaceae.
CCUGCAAGUCGGCUCAUCGCUUCAGUAGCAAUGCUGGGGAGGAAAGUCCGGGCAGCGCAGAGUACCGCACUUCCUAACGGGAAGGAGCAUGGCUGGGAACAGCUAUGUUACAGCUAGUGCCACAGAAAUAUACCGCCCUGGCCUGCCAGGGUAAGGGUGAAAAGGUGGAGUAAGAGCCCACCGGCUGCAGUGUGAAUUGCAGUGUCCAGGCAAACCUUGCGGGCUGAAAGACCAAAUAGGUCCUGUUUGAGAGUUACUCGCUCGUAUGCAGGAUGGGUAGGUUGAUAGAUGCUGGUGGUGACACCAGUACCAGAUAAAUGGUGAGCAUUUGCCUAAGGGCAAAUACAGAACCCGGCUUACAGACUUGCACUUUUU